GUAGGUGAACCUGCGGAAGGAUCAUUACCUUUUGUAAAAUCUCUUUGGCUUUAUUGCCAAUGUCGGGAGCGCUUUGUAAGUCUGGGUGCGGUUUAACCACUGACAACAGCGGAGCCUCUGACUGGACCCUUGUCUUUUGUGUACCUUAUGUUUCCUCGGCGGGCUUGCCCGCCGAUCGGACAAAACUAAAACCUUUUUAAUUUUCAAUCAGCGUCUGAAAAAAUUUAAUAAUUACAACUUUCAACAACGG
RNAcentral lists this unclassified non-coding RNA (250 nucleotides) under plant metagenome. Its description in RNAcentral is "partial contains small subunit ribosomal RNA, internal transcribed spacer 1, and 5.8S ribosomal RNA". The record is from RNAcentral.